RNAcentral lists this long non-coding RNA (363 nucleotides) under Cyanistes caeruleus (blue tit). RNAcentral's name for it is "lncRNA (ENSCCEG00000004435.1)". The record is from RNAcentral. Lineage: Eukaryota; Metazoa; Chordata; Aves; Passeriformes; Paridae.
AGAUACUAGGACUUCUGCCUGCCGCAGGCAAUUAGGUGAAAUAAAGACUACAGGAUUUAAAGAGAUUGGCACUUCCAAGUAUGAAGACUUGAAGGAACUAGGGUGGGUUUGUGUACUGCAGUUGAGUUAAAAGGAGCAGAUGAUGCACAUCUUGUACUGAUGUUCUUGCUAGAGGAAUGUGCUGAAACAGAUACUCUAGAAGGGUGCUAGAGAUAUAAGGUCCUGCAUCAGAAGCCUAAUUUUAAAAGCUUGUCAUGCAGAAUUGGUAAAAGACAAAAGUGGAGUCUCUUUGAAAGGAGGAAAUGCAGGUGGUGACAACAUGCUCUGGCCCAUAGUUCAUCUUUGCUGUCCUGGGAACGCUGU